UGGUCAGGACGAACGCUGGCGGCGUGCCUAACACAUGCAAGUCGAGCGAUGAAGUCUCGGAACGGAUUAGCGGCGGACGGGUGAGUAACACGUGGGUAACCUGCCUUGUAGAGGGGGAUAGCCUUCCGAAAGGAAGAUUAAUACCGCAUAACAUCUUUUUAUCGCAUGGUAGAAAGAUCAAAGGGGCAAUCCGCUACAAGAUGGACCCGCGGCGCAUUAGCUAGUUGGUGAGGUAACGGCUCACCAAGGCGACGAUGCGUAGCCGACCUGAGAGGGUGAUCGGCCACAUUGGAACUGAGACACGGUCCAGACUCCUACGGGAGGCAGCAGUGGGGAAUAUUGCGCAAGUUACGGGGGAAACCCUGACGCAGCAACGCCGCGUGAAUGAAGAAGGCCUUAGGGUUGUAAAGUUCUGUUUACGGGGACGAUAAUGACGGUACCCGUGGAGGAAGCCACGGCUAACUACGUGCCAGCCGCCGC
RNAcentral lists this ribosomal RNA (480 nucleotides) under uncultured bacterium. RNAcentral describes it as "bacterial SSU rRNA". It matches the Rfam family "Bacterial small subunit ribosomal RNA", at positions 21 to 518 of the family's 1533-position model. The record is from RNAcentral.